Molecule: ribosomal RNA, 406 nt
Filed under: uncultured bacterium
Lineage: Bacteria
Description: partial 16S ribosomal RNA
Rfam family: Bacterial small subunit ribosomal RNA
Source: RNAcentral
AUUGAACGCUGGCGGCAGGCUUAACACAUGCAAGUCGAACGAGUGGCGGACGGGUGAGUAAUGCCUGGGAAACUGCCUGAUGGAGGGGGAUAACUAAUGGAAACGGUAGCUAAUACCGCAUACCAUCAGAUGUGCCCAGGUGGGAUUAGGUAGUUGGUGGGGUAAAGGCUCACCAAGGCGACGAUCCCUAGCUGGUCUUAGAGGAUGACCAGCCACACUUGAACUGAGACACGGCCCAGACUCCUACGGGAGGCAGCAGUGGGGAAUAUUGCACAAUGGGCGCAACCCUGAUGCAGCCAUGCCGCGUGUAUGAAGAAGGCCUUCGGGUUGUAAAGUACUUUCAGCGGGGAGGCGUUACCCGCAGAAGAAGCACCGGCUAACUCCGUGCCAGCAGCCGCGGUAAUAC